AACGCCGCGUGAAGGAUGAAAUCCCUCGGGAUGUAAACUUCGCAAGAUUGGGAAGAAUUAGUAGGGUUAAUACCCCUAUGAUGACGGUACCUUUGUAAGCUCCGGCUAACUCCGUGCCAGCAGCCGCGGUAAUACGGGGGGAGCAAGCGUUGUUCGGAUUUACUGGGCGUAAAGGGCGCGUAGGCGGUCAGCACAAGUCAGUUGUGAAAUCUCCGGGCUUAACUCGGAACGGUCAACUGAUACUGUGCGACUAGAGUGCAGAAGGGGCAACUGGAAUUCUCGGUGUAGCGGUGAAAUGCGUAGAUAUCGAGAGGAACACCUGCGGCGAAGGCGGGUUGCUGGGCUGACACUGACGCUGAGGCGCGAAAGCCAGGGGAGCGAACGGGAUUAGAUACCCCGGUAGUCCUGGCCUUAAACGAUGGAUGCUUGGUGUCUGGAGUUAUAUAGUCUCCGGGUGCCGCAGCUAACGCGUUAAGCAUCCCGCCUGGGGAGUACGGUCGCAAGACUG
This 508-nucleotide ribosomal RNA is filed under the name uncultured Acidobacteriota bacterium. RNAcentral's name for it is "bacterial SSU rRNA". It matches the Rfam family "Bacterial small subunit ribosomal RNA", at positions 393 to 896 of the family's 1533-position model. The record is from RNAcentral. Lineage: Bacteria; Pseudomonadati; Acidobacteriota.